GCACCGCUGAUGAGACCCAACCAGGUCGACACAGCUGUCCAGUGC
Molecule: non-coding RNA, 45 nt
Organism: Echinostoma caproni
Lineage: Eukaryota; Metazoa; Platyhelminthes; Trematoda; Plagiorchiida; Echinostomatidae
Source: Rfam